This 253-nucleotide ribosomal RNA is filed under the name uncultured bacterium. RNAcentral describes it as "partial 16S ribosomal RNA". It matches the Rfam family "Bacterial small subunit ribosomal RNA", at positions 524 to 776 of the family's 1533-position model. The record is from RNAcentral.
UACGUAGGGGGCAAGCGUUGUCCGGAUUUAUUGGGCGUAAAGCGCUCGCAGGUGGUCCGUCGCGUCGUGCGUGAAAGCCCGGGGCUCAACCCCGGGUCGGCCGUGCGGACUGGCGUGCUCGAGCACUGUAGGGGCGGGUGGAAUUCCGGGUGUAGCGGUGAAAUGCGUAGAUAUCUGGAGGAACACCGGUGGCGAAGGCGGCAUCCUGGACCGGCAUUGACGCUGAGGCGCGAAAGCCAGGGGAGCAAACGGG